GACGAACGCUGGCGGCGUGCCUAAUACAUGCAAGUUGAGCGCUGAAGGUUGGUACUUGUACCAACUGGAUGAGCAGCGAACGGGUGAGUAACGCGUGGGGAAUCUGCCUUUGAGCGGGGGACAACAUUUGGAAACGAAUGCUAAUACCGCAUAAAAACUUUAAACACAAGUUUUAAGUUUGAAAGAUGCAAUUGCAUCACUCAAAGAUGAUCCCGCGUUGUAUUAGCUAGUUGGUGAGGUAAAGGCUCACCAAGGCGAUGAUACAUAGCCGACCUGAGAGGGUGAUCGGCCACAUUGGGACUGUGACACGGCCCAAACUCCUACGGGAGGCAGCAGUAGGGAAUCUUCGGCAAUGGACGAAAGUCUGACCGAGCUACGCCGCGUGAGUGAAGAAGGUUUUCGGAUCGUAAAACUCUGUUGGUAGAGAAGAACGUUGGUGAGAGUGGAAAGCUCAGCAAGUGACGGUAACUACCCAGAAAGGGACGGCUAACUACGUG
RNAcentral lists this ribosomal RNA (497 nucleotides) under uncultured bacterium. RNAcentral's name for it is "partial 16S ribosomal RNA". It matches the Rfam family "Bacterial small subunit ribosomal RNA", at positions 28 to 507 of the family's 1533-position model. The record is from RNAcentral.